UACGUAGGGUCCGAGCGUUGUCCGGAAUUAUUGGGCGUAAAGAGCUCGUAGGCGGUCUGUCGCGUCGGCUGUGAAAACCUGGGGCUCAACUCCAGGCCUGCAGUCGAUACGGGCAGACUAGAGUUCGGUAGGGGAGACUGGAAUUCCUGGUGUAGCGGUGAAAUGCGCAGAUAUCAGGAGGAACACCGGUGGCGAAGGCGGUUCUCUGGGCAUUACCUGACGCUGAGGAGCGAAAGUGUGGGGAGCGAACAGG
This 253-nucleotide ribosomal RNA is filed under the name uncultured bacterium. RNAcentral describes it as "partial 16S ribosomal RNA". It matches the Rfam family "Bacterial small subunit ribosomal RNA", at positions 524 to 776 of the family's 1533-position model. The record is from RNAcentral.